Molecule: transfer RNA, 74 nt
Filed under: Microcaldota archaeon
Lineage: Archaea; Nanobdellati; Microcaldota
Also listed under: 1 other name
Description: tRNA-Lys
Rfam family: tRNA
About the family: Transfer RNA (tRNA) molecules are approximately 80 nucleotides in length. Their secondary structure includes four short double-helical elements and three loops (D, anti-codon, and T loops).
Source: RNAcentral
GGGCCCGUAGCUCAGCUUGGCAGAGCAGCUGGCUUUUAACCAGCCUGUCGGGGGUUCGAAUCCCCCCGGGCCCG